This 363-nucleotide ribosomal RNA is filed under the name uncultured Enterobacteriaceae bacterium. RNAcentral describes it as "bacterial SSU rRNA". It matches the Rfam family "Bacterial small subunit ribosomal RNA", at positions 1019 to 1382 of the family's 1533-position model. The record is from RNAcentral. Lineage: Bacteria; Pseudomonadati; Pseudomonadota; Gammaproteobacteria; Enterobacterales; Enterobacteriaceae.
UUCGGGAACUGUGAGACAGGUGCUGCAUGGCUGUCGUCAGCUCGUGUUGUGAAAUGUUGGUUAAGUCCCGCAACGAGCGCAACCCUUAUCCUUUGUUGCCAGCGGUCCGGCCGGGAAACUCAAAGGAGACUGCCAGUGAUAAACUGGAGGAAGGUGGGGAUGACGUCAAGUCAUCAUGGCCCUUACGACCAGGGCUACACACGUGCUACAAUGGCGCAUACAAAGAGAAGCGACCUCGCGAGAGCAAGCGGACCUCAUAAAGUGCGUCGUAGUCCGGAUUGGAGUCUGCAACUCGACUCCAUGAAGUCGGAAUCGCUAGUAAUCGUGGAUCAGAAUGCCACGGUGAAUACGUUCCCGGGCCUU